CAUCCACUUGAUACCGUAAACUAUUAUAGAUUAGCCAAGAGAGGGUGGCCAAAUUGUGGUCCGUGUUUACUUUGCAAGAGGGUGCAAGAAAGCGGGUCACACCUAUUCUUUAAGUGCCGCUACACUCUAAGGCUGUGGGCCUUGGUCAUUGAAAAAUUUCACAUCUUCAAGUUGGACACCUCUUCGUGGCACUUGAUGGACUCCGUCGACGCUUGGUGGGCAAGCACUUGUGACGCCGGCACGCCAAACCGACAAGCCAAAGCCUCCCUCACCAUGCUUGUGUGGUGGACAAUUUGGAAUGACCGAAAUGCAAGUGUCUAG
Molecule: ribosomal RNA, 321 nt
Filed under: Triticum aestivum (bread wheat)
Lineage: Eukaryota; Viridiplantae; Streptophyta; Magnoliopsida; Poales; Poaceae
Description: partial small subunit ribosomal RNA
Source: RNAcentral